AUGCAGAGACCAACGAGACCCACAACCAAACUAAGAAAGUCCCCUUAGGGAGCUGACCCCGGCUAUGGCGCAGGUGCCUACUAGUGCCACUCCAGUGCCACCUUGAGGACCCAUAUUUCUGACCAAUUAUAUUAGGCGAUCUGCAUGGAACUUGCACACCUUACUGAACCCAUGCCUAUCUACAAGGGUGCAAAUUUUGAAUGAUAUUGGUCAACAUCAACCUCAGCUAAAGGUGGCUGAACUUUAACCUCCGUUUGUGCAGGCUGCGAUGCUGAAACUUGGCCCAGUUGCAGCACCUUUCACAUGUAUCAGGAUAAUAAAU
This is a non-coding RNA of Procambarus clarkii (red swamp crayfish), 322 nucleotides long. The record is from RefSeq and is a predicted model, not a curated record. NCBI's taxonomy places the organism in Eukaryota, Metazoa, Arthropoda, Malacostraca, Decapoda, Cambaridae.